UGGCUCAGGAUGAACGCUAGCUACAGGCUUAACACAUGCAAGUCGAGGGGCAGCAUGGAGUUGCUUGCAAACUCUGAUGGCGACCGGCGCACGGGUGAGUAACGCGUAUCCAACCUUCCCUAUAGUAGAGGAUAGCCCGGCGAAAGUCGGAUUAAUACUCUAUGUUUUCCGUUGCAGACAUCUAAGAUGGAACAAAGGCUUGCCGCUAUAGGAUGGGGGGUGCGUCUGAUUAGGUAGUCGGCGGGGUAACGGCCCACCGAGCCAUCGAUCAGUAGGGGUUCUGAGAGGAAGGUCCCCCCACAUUGGAACUGAGACACGGUCCAAACUCCUACGGGAGGCAGCAGUGAGGAAUAUUGGUCAAUGGGCGAGAGCCUGAACCAGCCAAGUAGCGUGCAAGAUGACGGCCCUAUGGGUUGUAAACUGUCUUUUAUGGCGGGGAUAAAGUUCACUACGUGUAGUGUUUUGUAGGUACCGCAUGAAUAAGGACCGGCUAAUUCCGUGCCAGCCGCGGC
This 512-nucleotide ribosomal RNA is filed under the name uncultured bacterium. Its description in RNAcentral is "bacterial SSU rRNA". It matches the Rfam family "Bacterial small subunit ribosomal RNA", at positions 20 to 518 of the family's 1533-position model. The record is from RNAcentral.